AUACGGAGGGGGCUAGCGUUGUUCGGAAUUACCGGGCGUAAAGCGUACGUAGGCGGACUGAUCAGUUGGGGGUGAAAUCCCAGGGCUUAACCCUGGAACUGCCUUCAAUACUGUCAGUCUUGAGUUUGGGAGAGGUGAGUGGAAUUCCUAGUGUAGAGGUGAAAUUCAUAGAUAUUAGGAGGAACACCAGUGGCGAAGGCGGCUCACUGGCCCAUUACUGACGCUGAGGUACGAAAGCGUGGGGAGCAAACAGGAUUAGAUACCCCAGUAGUCC
RNAcentral lists this ribosomal RNA (274 nucleotides) under uncultured bacterium. RNAcentral describes it as "partial 16S ribosomal RNA". It matches the Rfam family "Bacterial small subunit ribosomal RNA", at positions 523 to 796 of the family's 1533-position model. The record is from RNAcentral.